RNAcentral lists this ribosomal RNA (253 nucleotides) under uncultured bacterium. Its description in RNAcentral is "partial 16S ribosomal RNA". It matches the Rfam family "Bacterial small subunit ribosomal RNA", at positions 524 to 776 of the family's 1533-position model. The record is from RNAcentral.
UACGGAGGGGGCUAGCGUUGUUCGGAAUUACUGGGCGUAAAGCGCACGUAGGCGGCUUUGUAAGUUAGAGGUGAAAGCCCGGGGCUCAACUCCGGAAUUGCCUUUAAGACUGCAUCGCUAGAAUUGUGGAGAGGUAAGUGGAAUUCCGAGUGUAGAGGUGAAAUUCGUAGAUAUUCGGAGGAACACCAGUGGCGAAGGCGGCUCACUGGUCCAUUACUGACGCUGAGGUGCGAAAGCGUGGGGAGCAAACAGG